ACGAGAGUGGUGAAACUGGUAGACACGCACGACUAUAGAUCGUGUGCCGAAAGGCGUGGCGGUUCGAGUCCGCCCUCUCGUA
RNAcentral lists this transfer RNA (82 nucleotides) under Oceanospirillum multiglobuliferum. It matches the Rfam family "tRNA". Rfam says of the family: Transfer RNA (tRNA) molecules are approximately 80 nucleotides in length. Their secondary structure includes four short double-helical elements and three loops (D, anti-codon, and T loops). Further hydrogen bonds mediate the characteristic L-shaped molecular structure. tRNAs have two regions of fundamental functional importance: the anti-codon, which is responsible for specific mRNA codon recognition, and the 3' end, to which the tRNAs corresponding amino acid is attached (by aminoacyl-tRNA synthetases). tRNAs cope with the degeneracy of the genetic code in two manners: having more than one tRNA (with a specific anti-codon) for a particular amino acid; and 'wobble' base-pairing, i.e. permitting non-standard base-pairing at the 3rd anti-codon position. Lineage: Bacteria; Pseudomonadati; Pseudomonadota; Gammaproteobacteria; Oceanospirillales; Oceanospirillaceae. The record is from Rfam by way of RNAcentral.